RNAcentral lists this non-coding RNA (97 nucleotides) under Pan troglodytes (chimpanzee). The record is from RNAcentral. RNAcentral also lists the same sequence under 1 other name. Lineage: Eukaryota; Metazoa; Chordata; Mammalia; Primates; Hominidae.
AGCUGGUCCAAGUACAGCAGUUAUUUACAGCUAACUGAUCACAAGUUAGAUUUUUUUGUUCCCUCCCACUCCCACUGUUUCACUUGACUAGUCCCCC